GUGCUUGCUUCGGCAGCACAUAUACUAAAAUUGGAACGAAAAAGAGAAGAUUAGCAUGGCCCCUGCUCAAGGAUGACACGCAAAUUUGUGAAGCAUUCCAUAUUUAA
Small nuclear RNA from Heterocephalus glaber (naked mole-rat), 107 nucleotides. The record is from Ensembl. Lineage: Eukaryota; Metazoa; Chordata; Mammalia; Rodentia; Bathyergidae.